GGGCACGUAGUUCACUGGUAGAACGCUUACCUGAUAAGUAAGAAGUAGAUAGUUCGAUUCUAUCCGUGCCCACAA
This 75-nucleotide transfer RNA is filed under the name Candidatus Woesebacteria bacterium RIFCSPHIGHO2_01_FULL_39_17. RNAcentral describes it as "tRNA-Ile". It matches the Rfam family "tRNA". From Rfam's summary of the family: Transfer RNA (tRNA) molecules are approximately 80 nucleotides in length. Their secondary structure includes four short double-helical elements and three loops (D, anti-codon, and T loops). Further hydrogen bonds mediate the characteristic L-shaped molecular structure. tRNAs have two regions of fundamental functional importance: the anti-codon, which is responsible for specific mRNA codon recognition, and the 3' end, to which the tRNAs corresponding amino acid is attached (by aminoacyl-tRNA synthetases). tRNAs cope with the degeneracy of the genetic code in two manners: having more than one tRNA (with a specific anti-codon) for a particular amino acid; and 'wobble' base-pairing, i.e. permitting non-standard base-pairing at the 3rd anti-codon position. The record is from RNAcentral. RNAcentral also lists the same sequence under 6 other names. Lineage: Bacteria; Candidatus Woeseibacteriota.